AGUGAACGCUGGCGGUAGGCCUAACACAUGCAAGUCGAACGGCAGCACAGUAAGAGCUUGCUCUUACGGGUGGCGAGUGGCGGACGGGUGAGGAAUACAUCGGAAUCUACUUUUUCGUGGGGGAUAACGUAGGGAAACUUACGCUAAUACCGCAUACGACCUACGGGGGAAAGCAGGGGCUCUUCGGACCUUGCGCGAUUGAAUGAGCCGAUGUCGGAUUAGCUAGUUGGCGGGGUAAAGGCCCACCAAGGCGACGAUCCGUAGCUGGUCUGAGAGGAUGAUCAGCCACACUGGAACUGAGACACGGUCCAGACUCCUACGGGAGGCAGCAGUGGGGAAUAUUGGACAAUGGGCGCAAGCCUGAUCCAGCCAUACCGCGUGGGUGAAGAAGGCCUUCGGGUUGUAAAGCCCUUUUGUUGGGAAAGAAAAGCAGCAGGUUAAUACCCCGCUGUUCUGACGGUACCCAAAGAAUAAGCACCGGCUAACUUCGUG
This 492-nucleotide ribosomal RNA is filed under the name uncultured bacterium. RNAcentral describes it as "partial 16S ribosomal RNA". It matches the Rfam family "Bacterial small subunit ribosomal RNA", at positions 29 to 507 of the family's 1533-position model. The record is from RNAcentral.